CUGCAGUCGACGGCAGCACGGGUGCUUGCACCUGGUGGCGAGUGGCGAACGGGUGAGUAAUAUAUCGGAACGUACCCUAGAGUGGGGGAUAACGCAGCGAAAGUUGCGCUAAUACCGCAUACGAUCUACGGAUGAAAGUGGGGGAUCGCAAGACCUCAUGCUCAUGGAGCGGCCGAUAUCUGAUUAGCUAGUUGGUGGGGUAAAAGCCUACCAAGGCAUCGAUCAGUAGCUGGUCUGAGAGGACGACCAGCCACACUGGAACUGAGACACGGUCCAGACUCCUACGGGAGGCAGCAGUGGGGAAUUUUGGACAAUGGGCGCAAGCCUGAUCCAGCAAUGCCGCGUGAGUGAAGAAGGCCUUCGGGUUGUAAAGCUCUUUUGUCAGGGAAGAAACGGUGAGGGCUAAUAUCCUUUGCUAAUGACGGUACCUGAAGAAUAAGCACCGGCUAACUACGUGCCAGCAGCCGCGGUAAUACGUAGGGUGCAAGCGUUAAUCGGAAUUACUGGGCGUAAAGCGUGCGCAGGCGGUUAUGUAAGUCAGAUGUGAAAUCCCCGGGCUCAACCUGGGAAUGGCAUUUGAGACUGCAUGGCUAGAGUGUGUCAGAGGGGGGUAGAAUUCCACGUGUAGCAGUGAAAUGCGUAGAGAUGUGGAGGAAUACCGAUGGCGAAGGCAGCCCCCUGGGAUAACACUGACGCUCAUGCACGAAAGCGUGGGGAGCAAACAGGAUUAGAUACCCUGGUAGUCCACGCCCUAAACGAUGUCUACUAGUUGUCGGGACUUAAUUGUCUUGGUAACGCAGCUAACGCGUGAA
Molecule: ribosomal RNA, 812 nt
Filed under: uncultured soil bacterium
Lineage: Bacteria
Description: bacterial SSU rRNA
Rfam family: Bacterial small subunit ribosomal RNA
Source: RNAcentral